GCCCUAGUAGCUUAAUUUUUAAAGCAUCGGUUUUGUAAUCCGAAGACUGGGGGUUAAAUUCCCCCCUGGCGCC
This 73-nucleotide transfer RNA is filed under the name Thayeria boehlkei. RNAcentral describes it as "tRNA-Thr". It matches the Rfam family "tRNA". From Rfam's summary of the family: Transfer RNA (tRNA) molecules are approximately 80 nucleotides in length. Their secondary structure includes four short double-helical elements and three loops (D, anti-codon, and T loops). Lineage: Eukaryota; Metazoa; Chordata; Actinopteri; Characiformes; Characidae. The record is from RNAcentral.